GAUCAAAUCAAGCGCGAGAAGGGCGUUUGGUGGAUGCCUUGGCAGCAAGAGGCGAUGAAGGACGUGAUAACCUGCGAUAAGCCAGGGGGAGCCGGUAAUAGGCUUUGAUCCCUGGAUCUCCGAAUGGGGCAACCCACCUGACAGCUGAUUAUAAUUGCCCUCGGGCAGUUUAUAGUCGGUUGAACCAGGUACUUUGAACCUGAACACAUAGGGUACAAAGAGCAAACCCGGGGAACUGAAACAUCUAAGUACCCGGAGGAAAGGAAAUCAACAGAUACUCCCCUAGUAGUGGCGAGCGAACGGGGACCAGCCGAGCCGUGAAUGUGACCAGAACCGUCUGGAAAGUCGGGCCAUAGCGGGUGACAGCCCCGUAUGGGAAGCAUGAUCGGACGUAUCAAGUAGGGCGGGACACGUGAAAUCCUGUCUGAAGAUCGGGGGACCACCCUCGAAGGCUAAGUACUCCUUGCUGACCGAUAGCGAACCAGUACCGUGAGGGAAAGGUGAAAAGCACCCCGACGAGGGGAGUGAAACAGUACCUGAAACCGAGCGCCUACAAGCAGUCGGAGGGACCUCGAGUCCUGACGGCGUACCUUUUGUAUAAUGGGUCAUCGACUUGGUCUCACGAGCAAGCUUAAGCCGAUAGGUGUAGGCGCAGCGAAAGCGAGUCUUAAAUGGGCGUCGAGUUCGUGGGAUCAGACCCGAAACCGAGUGAUCUAGGCAUGACCAGGAUGAAGACAGGGUAACACCUGUUGGAGGUCCGAACCCACACCUGUUGAAAAAGGUCGGGAUGAGUUGUGCCUAGGGGUGAAAGGCCAAUCAAACUCGGAGAUAGCUGGUUCUCCGCGAAAUCUAUUUAGGUAGAGCGUCAUCCGAAUACCCCGGGGGGUAGAGCACUGGAUGGGUAAUGGGGCCCCACAGGCUUACUGAUCCUAACCAAACUCCGAAUACCCGGGAGUACUAGAUGGCAGACACACGGCGGGUGCUAACGUCCGUCGUGGAGAGGGAAACAACCCUGACCUACAGCUAAGGCCCCCAAUUCGUGGCUAAGUGGGAAAGCAGGUGGGACGUCCAAAACAACCAGGAGGUUGGCUUAGAAGCAGCCAUCCUUUAAAGAUAGCGUAACAGCUCACUGGUCUAAUCAAGAUGUCCUGCGGCGAAGAUGUAACGGGGCUCAAGCCACGAGCCGAAGCUUAGGACUGCGCAAGCAGUGGUAGCGGAGCGUAGUGUGACAAAACCCAUGUCUCUUCUGCUCGCUCGAUGCGAGGUCGAUGCGCUCAAGUAGCGUAGCGAUAGCGCAUGAAAGGCGAGCGUCGGAGACGCGGGUUUGACUGUGAAGCCGGGGCGUGAGCCAUCCGGUGGAGUGAUCACUAGCGAGAAUGAUGACAUGAGUAGCGACAAGGAGGGUGAGAGACCCUCCCGCCGAAAGUCCAAGGGUUCCUGCUUAAAGCUAAUCUGAGCAGGGUAAGCCGGCCCCUAAGGUGAGGCCGAAAGGCGUAGCCGAUGGGAAUCAGGUUAAUAUUCCUGAGCCAGGAGGAUGUGACGGAUCGUGAAGGUUGUUCGCCCUUAUCGGAUUGGGCGGGCCGCCGAUCGGUUCCUGGAAAUAGCCCUCCAUCAGACCGUACCCUAAACCGACACAGGUGGACUGGUAGAGCAUACCAAGGCGCUUGAGAGAACGAUGUUGAAGGAACUCGGCAAAAUACCUCCGUAAGUUCGCGAGAAGGAGGCCCGGUUCGUGGGCAACCAUGGGCCGGGGGCACAAACCAGGGGGUGGCGACUGUUUACUAAAAACACAGGGCUCUGCGAAGUCGCAAGACGACGUAUAGGGUCUGACGCCUGCCCGGUGCCGGAAGGUUAAAAGGAGGGGUGCAAGCUCCGAAUUGAAGCCCCGGUAAACGGCGGCCGUAACUAUAACGGUCCUAAGGUAGCGAAAUUCCUUGUCGGGUAAGUUCCGACCUGCACGAAUGGCGUAACGACUUCCCCGCUGUCUCCAACAUCGACUCAGCGAAAUUGAAUUGCCUGUCAAGAUGCAGGCUUCCCGCGGUUAGACGGAAAGACCCCGUGCACCUUCACUACAGCUUCGCACUGGCAUCAGGCACAACAUGUGCAGGAUAGGUGGUAGGCUUCGAAGCAGGGACGCCAGUUCCUGUGGAGCCAUCCUUGAGAUACCACCCUUGUUCUGCUUGAUGUCUAACCGCGGUCCGUCAUCCGGAUCCGGGACCCUGCGUGGCGGGUAGUUUGACUGGGGCGGUCGCCUCCCAAACAGUAACGGAGGCGCGCGAAGGUUGGCUCAGAGCGGUCGGAAAUCGCUCGUUGAGUGCAAUGGCAGAAGCCAGCCUGACUGCGAGACUGACAAGUCGAGCAGAGACGAAAGUCGGCCAUAGUGAUCCGGUGGUCCCGAGUGGAAGGGCCAUCGCUCAACGGAUAAAAGGUACGCCGGGGAUAACAGGCUGAUACUGCCCAAGAGUCCAUAUCGACGGCAGUGUUUGGCACCUCGAUGUCGGCUCAUCUCAUCCUGGGGCUGGAGCAGGUCCCAAGGGUAUGGCUGUUCGCCAUUUAAAGAGGUACGUGAGCUGGGUUUAGAACGUCGUGAGACAGUUCGGUCCCUAUCUGCCGUGGGUGUAGGAUACUUGAGAGGAGUUGCCCCUAGUACGAGAGGACCGGGGUGAACGAUCCACUGGUGGACCUGUUGUGGCGCCAGCCGCAGUGCAGGGUAGCUAUGAUCGGACAGGAUAACCGCUGAAGGCAUCUAAGCGGGAAGCCCCCCUCAAAACAAGGUAUCCCCGAGGGCCGUGGAAGACCACCACGUCGAUAGGCCGGAGAUGUAAGCGCAGCAAUGCGUUCAGUUGACCGGUACUAAUUGCCCGAUAGGCUUGAUUUGAUCCAG
Molecule: ribosomal RNA, 2884 nt
Filed under: Rhodovulum strictum
Lineage: Bacteria; Pseudomonadati; Pseudomonadota; Alphaproteobacteria; Rhodobacterales; Paracoccaceae
Description: 23S ribosomal RNA
Rfam family: Bacterial large subunit ribosomal RNA
Source: RNAcentral